Molecule: long non-coding RNA, 771 nt
Organism: Pyrus x bretschneideri (Chinese white pear)
Lineage: Eukaryota; Viridiplantae; Streptophyta; Magnoliopsida; Rosales; Rosaceae
Exons: 3
Source: RefSeq, a predicted model, not a curated record
AAUUUGGGGAUGGGGAGAGUGAGAGGGGUGGGAAGAGUGAAGGGAUGAGUGUAUGGGUGUUGGGAAAAAAACUGGGGAUGAAGAAAACAAUUGGGGAAAAAAAAAUUAGGGUUUGUGGAGGAAACAAGAAAUUUUGAAAGAGAAGUAAGAAAAAUUGAUUACUUCUUUAUUCAUUUUCCUUGACUGAUCUUGAUGCAUGUUAAGCGUGAGAAGUGAUAAUGCAUGUUUGUUCCCUGAAUCUUGUUUUGGAUUAAAGAGUUAUUUGUGUUUUUGUUGGUUAGGGAAGAGGUGGAGGAAAAUUUGGAAUUGUUACGAUUGGUGUUGGAUUUGAGCUUAUCGCUUCUUUUCUGAUACAAGGUUGAAACCCUCAUCCAUGCACUUGAGAAAAUUGCCAAGUUGAAGAUUCCCCUGCUGAUUUGUGCAUAUUUGAACUCUGUGCCUCAAAGACAAUGUUGAGCUUGGUACAGCAUGUGGAAAGUACUUCCGAGUGUCUUGCCUUAGCAUCAUUGAUGCAGGUGAUUCGGAUGUUAUCAAGACGCUACCUGGUGGUCAGUGAAGGAGGGUAGGACGAUACCUCUAUGUUAAGUGUAGUGUUUUGUUUUGAGACUUGUCAAUUGUCAUCUCCGAAUGAAAUUCUCGAUUUUCUUUGACAAUGUUGUGUUGCUAAGUUUCCAAAUGCUUAGAUUCUACUGUAUGUGUAAGGUGAUCUUCAUUGUGACUUGAUGCAUGGCAUCCUGAGAUUCAUUAAAGUUAAUUCUGUUACAUUAGAUA